RNAcentral lists this ribosomal RNA (209 nucleotides) under uncultured bacterium. RNAcentral describes it as "partial 16S ribosomal RNA". It matches the Rfam family "Bacterial small subunit ribosomal RNA", at positions 335 to 531 of the family's 1533-position model. The record is from RNAcentral.
ACUCCCUACGGGGAGGCAGCAGUGGAGGAAUAUUGGUCAAUGGGGCGCAAGCCUGAACCAGCCAUGCCGCGUGCAGGAUGACGGGUUCCUAAUGGAUUGUAAACUUGCUUUUGUGACGGGAAGAAACACUCCUUCGUGAAGGAGCUUGUACGGUACCGUAAGAAUAAGGAUCGGCUAACUCCGUGCCAGCAGCCGCGGUAAUACGGAGG